CCUACGGGUGGCAGCAGUGGGGAAUAUUGCGCAAUGGGCGAAAGCCUGACGCAGCGACGCCGCGUGAGGGAUGAAGGUCUUCGGAUUGUAAACCUCUGUUAGCAGGGAAGAACGGUCCCUGUGCUAAUCAGUAGUGAAUUGACGGUACCUGCAAAGGAAGCACCGGCUAACUCCGUGACAGCAGCUGCGGUAAUAUGGAGGGUGGGAGCGUUAAUCGGAAUUACUGGGCGUAAAGGGCUCGUAGGCGGUAUGGCAAGUCAAGGGUGAAAUCCCGGCGCUGAACGUGGGAACUGCCUUUGAAACUGGCAAACUGGAGUGUGUGAGAGGAAAGUGGAAGUCCAGGUGUAGGAGUGAAAUCCGUAGAGAUCUGGAGGAACAUCAGUGGCGAAGGCGACUAUCUGGCACAUAACUGACGCUGAGGAGCGAAAGCGUGGGUAGCAAACAGGAUUAGAUACCCUUGUAGUC
This 465-nucleotide ribosomal RNA is filed under the name uncultured bacterium. Its description in RNAcentral is "partial 16S ribosomal RNA". It matches the Rfam family "Bacterial small subunit ribosomal RNA", at positions 338 to 795 of the family's 1533-position model. The record is from RNAcentral.